RNAcentral lists this long non-coding RNA (246 nucleotides) under Chinchilla lanigera (long-tailed chinchilla). Its description in RNAcentral is "lncRNA (ENSCLAG00000023686.1)". The record is from RNAcentral. Lineage: Eukaryota; Metazoa; Chordata; Mammalia; Rodentia; Chinchillidae.
AUGUUUACCGUCGAAUCUGACACCAUCAGAAGCACACAUUCGAAAACAAAAGAGAAAGAAAUCACACAGGCUGUGCUGGUCCAGCAGCAGGACUGGUGCACAGAAGGACCACAGCAUGCUGAAUUUGCUCAUUUAAAAGUCCACCACAUCUGUCUUACAGACAGACCUAACACCUUCCACCAUAGCUUCCUUUCACUAGAGGCCAAUACUCUUCACAUCCUGGAAAGACUACAGACUGCUAUAUAG